GACGAACGCUGGCGGCACGCUUAACACAUACAAGUCGAACGGAAAGGCCUGCUUUCCCCUGUGGAUUGCGGGUACUCGAGUGGCGAACGGGUGAGUAACACGUGAGUGAUCUGCCCCCAACUUGGGUAUAAGCCUGGGAAACUGGGUCUAAUUCCCGAUAGGACUGCAGGGUGGUGCCUGUGGUGGAAAACGAUUUUCUAGUGGUUGGGGAUGAGCUCGCGGCCUAUCAGCUUGUUGGUGGGGUAAUGGCCUACCAAGGCGGCGACGGGUAGCCGGCCUGAGAGGGUGGACGGUCGCAUUGGGACUGAGAUACGGCCCAGACUCCUACGGGAGGCAGCAGUGGGGAAUAUUGCACAAUGGGCGGAAGCCUGAUGCAGCGACGCCGCGUGGGGGAUGACGGCCUUCGGGUUGUAAACUCCUUUCGACCGCGAGGAAGCCACCUGGUUGGAAGGGUGGUGACGGUAGUGGUAGAAGAAGCACCGGCUAACUACGUG
RNAcentral lists this ribosomal RNA (494 nucleotides) under uncultured bacterium. Its description in RNAcentral is "partial 16S ribosomal RNA". It matches the Rfam family "Bacterial small subunit ribosomal RNA", at positions 28 to 507 of the family's 1533-position model. The record is from RNAcentral.